UGGCGGACGGGUGAGUAAUGUCUGGGAAACUGCCCGAUGGAGGGGGAUAACUACUGGAAACGGUAGCUAAUACCGCAUAACGUCGCAAGACCAAAGAGGGGGACCUUCGGGCCUCUUGCCAUCAGAUGAACCCAUAUGGGAUUAGCUUGUAGGUAAGGUAACGGCUUACCUAGGCGACGAUCCCUAGCUGGUCUGAGAGGAUGACCAGCCACACUGGAACUGAGACACGGUCCAG
RNAcentral lists this ribosomal RNA (235 nucleotides) under uncultured bacterium. RNAcentral's name for it is "partial 16S ribosomal RNA". It matches the Rfam family "Bacterial small subunit ribosomal RNA", at positions 96 to 334 of the family's 1533-position model. The record is from RNAcentral.